GUAGGUGGCAAGCGUUGUCCGGAAUUAUUGGGCGUAAAGCGCGCGCAGGCGGUUCUUUAAGUCUGAUGUGAAAGCCCACGGCUCAACCGUGGAGGGUCAUUGGAAACUGGGGAACUUGAGUACAGAAGAGGAAAGCGGAAUUCCACGUGUAGCGGUGAAAUGCGUAGAGAUGUGGAGGAACACCAGUGGCGAAGGCGGCUUUCUGGUCUGUAACUGACGCUGAGGCGCGAAAGCGUGGGGAGCAAACAGGAUUAGAUACCCUGGUAGUCCACGCCGUAAACGAUGAGUGCUAAGUGUUAGGGGGUUUCCCGCCCCCUUAGUGCUGCAGCUAACGCAUUAAGCACUCCGCCUGGGGAGUACGGCCGCAAGGCUG
Molecule: ribosomal RNA, 373 nt
Filed under: uncultured organism
Description: partial 16S ribosomal RNA
Rfam family: Bacterial small subunit ribosomal RNA
Source: RNAcentral